UUUUAGGCCAAAAGUCCUUUUCACUUUUGUUUGUAUAAGUUAAGAGGUGCCAAUUACGUUAUCUAAUAAUAUGUCACUAUCCCAUUUUCAAUUAUUAUUACGUACUAGAACUUGUUUGUAGGUCCCUUAAUUCAAUUAUUUUCAAAUCAUGUUUUGUAAUAUGUUAUCUGGACAUAUCAAACGUUUCAGCGUUAGGUUCAUUUUUUUAGUUUAUCUGAUGACGUAGCUCAUCUAUCAAUGUCUGCGCCCAAUGUCCAAUUUUGGACCAUUUUUAGCUCAUGGAUUAGUUCUAAUGUGUAAUUUUUGAUGCAGACUGUGAUGAGUAACUUGAGAGG
RNAcentral lists this unclassified non-coding RNA (335 nucleotides) under Hevea brasiliensis (rubber tree). Lineage: Eukaryota; Viridiplantae; Streptophyta; Magnoliopsida; Malpighiales; Euphorbiaceae. The record is from RNAcentral.